Molecule: non-coding RNA, 108 nt
Organism: Pimephales promelas (fathead minnow)
Lineage: Eukaryota; Metazoa; Chordata; Actinopteri; Cypriniformes; Leuciscidae
Source: RefSeq, a predicted model, not a curated record
AGUUUAAAGCCGUUUAAAGUCACAGAAUAUAAGUUAAGGCACCGAUAGAGGCACAAUUCUUACUGACGGCUGACGUGUGUGUGUGUGUGUGUGUGUGUGUGCGUGUGU